This is a long non-coding RNA of Anser cygnoides (Swan goose), 5339 nucleotides long. Lineage: Eukaryota; Metazoa; Chordata; Aves; Anseriformes; Anatidae. The record is from Ensembl.
AUGAUGCUCUCCGCAGCCAAGGAGAGUUCUGGCAACUUCUCCACCUCAGCGUCAAACGAGGCUGGGCAGAGCGCUCGCAGGGGCAGCGCCCACCCGUCCCCCAGACCCUCACGCCUACUGCCCCUGAAGGCGCAGCACGGAGACGCGCAGGUGUGCACACAAGUCCUGUACACGAACGGGUGCCACCUGGCGGCGCCGCAGCCGCACGGAGGCGGAGCGGGCAGCGGCGCCACCAGGUGGGGGGCGACACCCGGCGGCCGGGGCGCGAGGCCUCCGCCGGCCUCACAGGGCCCGGGGGCGGCCCCGGGGCAGCGCCGAGGACGGGACGCGGGGACAAGCGGCCGGCCCCGCCGCCUGCGCGAAAUGGCGGCGCCCACAGCGCCCACGGCGCUAACUGCGACAGCGGAGCGGCACGCGGCACCCGCUAUUGGCUGGGGAGGGGCGGGGGGCGGCCGGCUCGACCAAUGGGGUAGAGCGCGCGGCCCGGCCGAGCCAAUGGGAGGCCGCGCUUUUUCCUACGGUCGGCGCUGCGGGGCGGGGCGAGGGGUUAGAGGUCGGCGCGGAGCCCGGCGGAAGUGGAAGCGGCCGCGGCGCCGCCUCCCAUUCUCCCGCCGUUCCCGCGUGCGCCCCGCGCUGCUCGGGCCUCGCCGCGCGCCCGUUGCCAUGCUCGCCAACACAGAGGAGUACAUAGACGGGGCGCUGUCGGGACACCUGGGCGAAGUUUUGAUAAGGUGCAAUAAUGUUUUGUACAUCAGAGGUGUGGAAGAAGAGGAAGAAGAUGGAGAAAUGAGAGAAUAAGACCCUCAUUCUAAGUUGUUUUCUCUGCUUAAUGGCUGAAGGCUGUGAACAAACCACCAGUUGUCUUUCCAUCUGGAACAUGGGAAAACACAGAUGUGCGUAUGCUUUACAGUGUGUAUGUAGUUACUAUCUAAAUGCACUUAAUCUUUAUAUUGGUUUCUAAACUACUUGGAAAUAGUUGAAAGACUUCAAUACAGGUGGGAAAUUGAUAUUAUACCACAGUGUCCCGCAGUAGUAUUGCGCUUCUUUGAGCCAUGAAGCUUGAAGUGUGGUUGUAGAACCAUUUUUAAGGCAGGGCAAAUUUCUAUAAACUCUGUAGCUAGUAACCACACAAACAAAAGACUCAGCAGCUAUAAAGGUCCAUGAACUUAAAUGGCAUUAAUAGAGUUAAAACAAUGCAGUGCAAAAUGGGAAUGUAUUCUCAGUCUCUUAUAUCUCCAAAAAAAUUAAAAAGCCCUCUUUGUUAUCAGGCAUCCAGGAUACUAAAGUUUUGGCAAGAACACAAUAGCCAGUUUUAAAAUGUUGAAAGCAAACACAGGUUAACUGAACCUGUUCCUUACCUGUCUGCACUUCCUGGUGAAAGGAGGCUGCUGCCUUGCCAGUGCUGCCAGCCAGAACUGCGCUGUGUGACGGGGUCUGAUGGAGCUCUGAAUCUACCUGCAGGUGGCUGGCGGGACGUUCUGCAUACCAGAACCCAAACAGCUAGAGGUAGCGUUCAUGGAUUUAAAUUGCGUGUUACUUUGGCCCUGCUCUUACCAGCAAUCAUUUCUAAUCCUGUUAUCAAAUCCAGAUGGAUUCUCCCCAUUUUACAGAUGGGGAAAAUAGAGCAAAAUGAGAUGCCCAGCUGUGGAAGUAGAUCUCGCUGGCACAGAACAUAGAACCAGACCCUGGUAUCAGUGUGGCUUACUGAAUUGUGAGCAAGCAGCUGCACCUUAUUUUCUACUGAGAAGCAGAAAUGAUGCUGUCUCCCUUCUCAGAGCGUCUUGGAGUACAUGAAAAAGCUCCAUGUAACAUGGUAACUGAGGUGGGCACAAACUGAGUGCGGGUCUCCCUGCACUUAAGUGAGGAUUGUAUAUGUCCUUUGGUCAAUGACUGGUGUGAAAGAGUGGCAGAUGCUUUGGGCUGGAUUUGGAUAUAAUACUGAUUAUGUAUAUUGGGGGAAGAAAAAAAAAGCUUUUGGGACAGAUACUGCAGAGAAAAACUGCCCUGUUUCUUGUGAUGGAAGUCAUCCCUGUGGCUAUGCACAUGCUCCUCUAAUAUUUACAGCUGCAGGUUGCCAGAAGGAGUGAACAGUCACGUUGGAUGUACUUGCGAAAGGCUUUCAUUAUUCAAAUCAGCUCCUUUUUGGCAGCCUGAAGGCUUACUUCACAAUUCUUCUGAAGAAGUAUCUUACAAUCCCAUUGGGAAAGGGAAAUGAGCCGUUUAAGCUAAAACAAGCACUAGUACAUGAAUAAAUCAGUACUUUUAAAUCAGUGAUGGACUUAGGAAACCUCCAAACAAGUAGAGCAAAUGUGUUCAGUGUGUUCUAGAACAUUUUAAGUAGCAGUAAGGAGGGGCAAACCCAUGUCUGGUUUAUGAUACAGCACGCCCAGUUUAGCAUACACGUAAUGCAAAGUAGUGCCUUUUCCAUGUUCUCACUGAUAAUUACAGCAGUAUCAGUAUUAGAGGGGAAGAAGCUUGGGACUGUCAUCUUAGCAUCCAGCUGCUUCCUUGCCUGGAGUGGCCUGGCACUGACUGAAAGCUGCUCCUCUGGAGGAAGGGGGGCUGGAGGUGAGGUGGGUAAAGUGAGCACUGAAUUUAGGUGGUGCCAUCAUCACGGCAGUCUUACAGCUUUUCAGAAUAACUUUGGGAAGCACUAGUGUAUGCUGAACAAAUUCUGCGUAUGUGAAUCAAUGUGAGUAGUUCCUCAGCUGAAUGGGAAAAAUGUCUCGAGUUGGGGUGUAUGGCCAGCAGGCUAAAGUCACCGUCCUGAGGGUAAAGAAUACGUUUUUGCCUUACAGAGAGAGCUAAAGCCUUCCUGUGACUCAUAGCAAGCAUUCUUCCUCUGAUUGCCCUCCUAAAGGGAGGGAGUUCUUCAACAUAGCACAGCAAUGCUUGUUGGUGUUUGAGAAAUAUCUCUGAAAAAAUCUUCAUACAAGGAAGGUCCUGUAGCAGUUUAAAAUGAGUAGAAAAGUUUUUUGUUUUGUUUUUUUUUUUUUAAGUAAAUCUCUGGCAGCAAAAUAAAUGGGAGAGCAUUUUGCGCAUGCUGUUCCAACUGCGGCAGACACUCCCUAACUUAAAAAUGGGCUGUUGAUAUUCCAGAACUGACAUCCUGUACCCAUCAGCUGGAAAGUGGCCACAUCUUUUCUGUUUGCUUUUGCAAGGGCUGCUGAGAAAUGAAUCAAAAUACUGAGACAUUUAUGCAUGACCACCAUCAAGAAGAGAGGAAAUCUCUUAAUAACCUGAUAUCCCAUUUACUUUUUCAUGUAUCUUUACUUUUUUCUUUUCCUACCUGUAUUCUUUCUACUACCUUACUUUGCUUAAUUUUUAGUGAAAUGAGUUAUUUUCUAACAAAAACUGGCAAACUCCAGAAACUUAAAAUGCCCAAAGAUAAUAAAAGUCUUAUGAGCACAGGAUAUUAUCCUUCAAGCUGAGUUAAGAACACUCACCUUUUCAGUAGGCCAAGACCCAAGGAACUGUCUUUCCAUAUGUUACUGUGAAAGGAGUUAUAUUCUUUUGACUGCUUUUAUCAAUAUCUAUGCAAUUUUGCAGAAAAAAAUAAUCAGACACUAUUUUAGAUACUAUAUUUUUAAGAUUUUUCAAAAAGCACUUUUACUGGAACAUUAAGGCAGUGAUUUAAAGGCACUACAUUUAACGAACUCAGUUCCCCUGGUAGAUUCCUCUGGCACUCUGUCUUCGUGUUUUUACUUCCAGUGAAUUCUGACAUUAAUGUUUUUAUAAUACAGCCCAACUUUUAGAAUCUCUUCUUUUGUAUGAAAUUCAAGAAUUUCUUGAGGAUGCAACCUAGAAACCGCUUUGUCUCUCUGGGUAGUACUUUAAAAAAUAUAUCAGACACUGCAUGUCAUAAACCCUGGGCUUUGCAGUAGAUUGACCUUGUUCUUCAUUUUCUUGCCUAUUAAAGAGAAGAAUCCUCAACAGAAAAACAACAGAAAGCACAUACUAUAUACAAUGUGUGAAUACAAACACACAUGCGUAGCUGUGAGUUUUCUGCAAGCAGAACACAAGGUUGAAAAUGAAAAUACUCGUGAAUACAAGGAAGGUGAUUCUGCAGUACUUAAAAAUUGCCGUAAGACAGUGCAACAAGGAAGCUGUUCAGUCCUCGUUCUAGACCUCUUUAUUUGCCUGCCAUCCCACCACACAAGAGGUGAGCUAUGUGCCGGGGUGUGCUUCAGCUGGAGCAGCAGCAUCCCUUCUCUGCUGCUUUUAUGGGCAGGGCUGAACUGGCAAGUGCCAGACUCCACCGCAGCGUGCUGCACUGCAUUCCUCACACCCCAGCUCUCACACCACCGCUGCUGCUGAAACAUCAUCCCAGGCGGUGUCCUGCCCUCGCUAUCACUCUCUCGAGAGGUUCCUCUUUAAUUUCUGUUUUCAUACAAACUGUGAUACUGCCAGGGAAAGCCAAAACAAGCAGCAGGAUCUCCUGGAAGCAGCACAGCACCACCUCUCAUGUUCACUUUUUGUAUGCCAAGUGAGAGAGAAUGCUCAGAAGGAAGACACAGACUAUGCUGUGGUGCAGUAUUUGAGCCAACAAAUCCAUCUGUUUCUGCUAUACAGGAGUAUGUAUACUCUCAUAGGUGUGUUUUAAGCAUUAUACAUCAAACACCUUUUUAAAAGAUAAUAGUGUCUGAAGAUUACCACCAUCACAAAAGUGUUUGAGGGACCACCUACUCAGAAAUACACUCCGUUUGCCAGCUGGGAAUUACUGGAGCCCUACUCCCGCUAUGAAUAUCUGAAGACAGAAGAAAACUGGAAAUCCACAUUGAGAGCGUUUGUUCCCCGACUCUCCCAUCCCUAAUUCUGUAGGGGGCAGCAGAAUCUAACAAACCUUUGAUCGUGGACUCGGAUAAAUUACUAUCUACCCAGACAAAUGAGUGUCUGCCUGAAUAUCCAGGGCGAUGAGAGGCAUUUCGCUCCCCCGGGGGCUGCAGCUGGCAGGCUGGCGAGGCCAGCAAACGCACCCAGCUCGGAAGCUCCCCAUUCCCCUGCGGGGGUCAGGGCCUCGCGGUGAUGGGGACAGCAGCCCACUGACCCUGCCAGCAGCACCCUGAGAAAACACGAAACGCUUCCAGCCCAAAUUUCUGUCAGGGGCCGAGCGGGCACCAAGUGACGGCGGGGAUGCUUCACUCGCAGCCCCCGCUAGCCCGGCCGGGAGGGCGCCGUGCCGCCCAUCCCCGGGGCGGCCCCAGCCCCUUCGGGAAGCAGGGCACCGGGUCCCGGCCCUGCCUGCCAAGGGGGCCGCCCCGGGGAGCCCCCCUCGGUGCGGGAGGCGCCAUUUCGCGCACCGCCCCGGGGGACUUUGAGCCGAGCGGCGGCCGCCCCCC